RNAcentral lists this transfer RNA (61 nucleotides) under Dorcus parallelipipedus (lesser stag beetle). Its description in RNAcentral is "tRNA-Cys". The record is from RNAcentral. Lineage: Eukaryota; Metazoa; Arthropoda; Insecta; Coleoptera; Lucanidae.
AGUCUUGUAGUCAAAAAUGAUUUCAAAUUGCAAGUUUGAAGGUGGAAUUUUCCUAAGGCUU